This 301-nucleotide ribosomal RNA is filed under the name uncultured bacterium. RNAcentral describes it as "partial 16S ribosomal RNA". It matches the Rfam family "Bacterial small subunit ribosomal RNA", at positions 509 to 809 of the family's 1533-position model. The record is from RNAcentral.
CAGCCGCCACGGGAAUACGUAGGGCGCAAGCGUUGUCCGGAAUUAUUGGGCGUAAAGAGCUCGUAGGCGGUCUGUCGCGUCUGGUGUGAAAUCCCGAGGCUCAACCUCGGGCUUGCAUCGGGUACGGGCAGACUAGAGUGCGGUAGGGGAGACUGGAAUUCCUGGUGUAGCGGUGGAAUGCGCAGAUAUCAGGAGGAACACCGAUGGCGAAGGCAGGUCUCUGGGCCGCAACUGACGCUGAGGAGCGAAAGCAUGGGGAGCGAACAGGAUUAGAUACCCCUGUAGUCCCUGUCUCUUAUAA